CACCUCAGAAACAUGUAUUUUUAAAAAAUUGGAAUGACACGGAGACGAUUAUCAUGGCCCCUGCAUAAGGAUGACAUGCAAAUUUGUAAAGCAUUCCACUCAAAA
Small nuclear RNA from Tupaia belangeri (northern tree shrew), 105 nucleotides. The record is from Ensembl. NCBI's taxonomy places the organism in Eukaryota, Metazoa, Chordata, Mammalia, Scandentia, Tupaiidae.